CUGCGGAGAGAAAACGAGGGGAGAGAGUAGAGGCUGCCAUUUGGCAGCUUGAGCCUUGACUGACGGGAAUGGGAAGAGACACGGGCUGCCACGGGGCAGCGUGCGGAGAAGAAAAGAAGGGAAGCAAGUCAGGGACUUGCCAGGCAGAAACGAGAAAGGAAAGAAGCUCAGAGGGGAAGCUGCAGGAAAGGAGAGGGCGCCAGCGAGGCGCAGUUCACACGGGCACGAACGCAACAGAUCACCUUCUUUCGGUUUAAUCUUUCC
This 264-nucleotide long non-coding RNA is filed under the name Malus domestica (apple). RNAcentral's name for it is "long non-coding RNA (MDOM_LNC001624)". The record is from RNAcentral. Lineage: Eukaryota; Viridiplantae; Streptophyta; Magnoliopsida; Rosales; Rosaceae.